AAAUAACAGCCAGGGAGCAUCCCGCACGGGGAGGAAAAAAAAAAAAAAAAGAAAGGCCUCAUCCUGCAAACCCUCCUAAGCGCAGGCCGCAGAUGUGCUCCUGGGAAACCCACGUCGGCAGGGCUCGGCUGGCGAGAGCAGGUCUAACCCUGCGUCCUCCUCCCCCCACCGACGCCCAAGACUCGCUGAACCCCAGGUAGCAGGAGAAAAAUGCCUUCUAGAACUGAAGUAUUUUACAGUUAUCAUAGUAAUCUGCUGUCCUGGGUACUUCAGUGUAUUGUAUUAGCAGCACAGCCAGACAUGAGAAAAAUAAGACUGAGCAAAAGAUAUCUCUGCAGCUACGUUUGGAACGUAGACUGCCCUGUGCCCCAGAGAACCCCAUCUUGCUCGAGUGGAGUGGAUCAAGCACAGCGUAUAUAAAAUGCUUUGAGGUGUCCGACGUGAGGCAGCGUAAUGCAAAGUAUUUCACAGCUUCAGAAAAUGAACAGUAGCUGGUAGAAAAAUUGAAUUGAAACUUCCAAAGGAAUUUUCAGUUCCUCAAGCACCUACCAAAGGGUAUGGCAGUGCUGAAGUAUUUUGGUAGCUUGCUCUCUCCGGGUGCUCUCCUGUAUGAGGCAUUUCAAGUGCCUUGCGGCCCUAGCCUUAAGAAAUCUUAGCAUAUUCUGAAGGCUUUGAGAGUGGCCCAGAGGAAAGAUUAGGUGAGUUAAAAAUUUAUAGCCUAGAAAAUUUAGAAAUCCUCAAGAGCACAUUUUAAUGAAAUCACUUUAUUAGUCUUGACAAGUAGCUUAAAAGAGGAAAAAAAGAAAAAACAAAUUCCAUGCACCCUUUCCCUGCUCCCGCCAGUCCUC
Molecule: long non-coding RNA, 848 nt
Filed under: Struthio camelus australis
Lineage: Eukaryota; Metazoa; Chordata; Aves; Struthioniformes; Struthionidae
Description: lncRNA (ENSSCUG00000015980.1)
Source: RNAcentral